Molecule: non-coding RNA, 85 nt
Organism: Felis catus (domestic cat)
Lineage: Eukaryota; Metazoa; Chordata; Mammalia; Carnivora; Felidae
Source: Rfam
GCCUGGGUGGCUCAGUUGGUUCAGCGUCUGACUUCGGUUCAGGUCAUAAUCUCACAGCUCGUGAGUUCGAGCCCCACGUCGGGCU